UGGAAGUAAAAGUCGUAACAAGGUUUCCGUAGGUGAACCUGCGGAAGGAUCAUUAAUUAUGUUAAAGCGCCUUACCUCUUAGGGUUUCCUCUGGGGUAAGUGAUUGCUUCUACACUGUGAAAAUUUGGCUGAGAGACUCAGACUGGUCAUGGGUAGACCUAUCUGGGGUUUGAUCGAUGCCACUCCUGGUUUCAGGAGCACCCUUCAUAAUAAACCUAGAAAUUCAGUAUUAUAAAGUUUAAUAAAAAACAACUUUUAACAAUGGAUCUUUUGGUUCUCGCAUCGAUGAAGAACGUAGCAAAGUGCGAUAACUAGUGUGAAUUGCAUAUUCAGUGAAUCAUAGAGUCUUUGAACGCAGCUUGCACUCUAUGGUUUUUCUAUAGAGUACGCCUGCUUCAGUAUCAUCACAAACCCACACAUAACAUUUGUUUAUGUGGUAAUGGGUCGCAUCGCUGUUUUAUUACAGUGAGCACCUAAAAUGUGUGUGAUUUUCUGUCUGGCUUGCUAGGCAGGAAUAUUACGAGGGUAUCAGGAUCUGUUUCUUUGGUUCGCCCAGGAAGUAAAGUCCAAGAGCAUAAUCCAGCAACUUCAAAGGUAGAAUCU
This 603-nucleotide ribosomal RNA is filed under the name Rhizopus arrhizus. Its description in RNAcentral is "eukaryotic LSU rRNA". The stretch from base 251 to 404 matches the Rfam family "5.8S ribosomal RNA". The record is from RNAcentral. Lineage: Eukaryota; Fungi; Mucoromycota; Mucoromycetes; Mucorales; Rhizopodaceae.